GGCCCGGUGGCAGAAUGGUUAUGUACUUGGCCUUGCAAUCCGAGAGAUGUCGGUUCGAUUCCGACCCGGGCCU
Molecule: transfer RNA, 73 nt
Filed under: Gemmatimonadota bacterium
Lineage: Bacteria; Pseudomonadati; Gemmatimonadota
Description: Gemmatimonadetes bacterium tRNA-Ala
Rfam family: tRNA
About the family: Transfer RNA (tRNA) molecules are approximately 80 nucleotides in length.
Source: RNAcentral